ACUGCCUCUCAGCUUUUGGGCUAAGAUCAAGUGUAAUGUCUGUUUUUAUUAGUUUAAUAAUUCUACAAAUUGUACAUACAAACAAGUACACAAAAAAUUGAAGGCAUUAAACAGUUUAAUUCCUUAAUUUGAAUCAGUUCAGGACAAAACAGUUUUUUCAGUCUAUAGAGUGCUAGUCCUUCUAAA
Nannospalax galili (Upper Galilee mountains blind mole rat) is the source of this 186-nucleotide small nuclear RNA. RefSeq annotates it as U2 spliceosomal RNA. The transcript has a single exon. Lineage: Eukaryota; Metazoa; Chordata; Mammalia; Rodentia; Spalacidae. The record is from RefSeq and is a predicted model, not a curated record.